ACCAGCUGUAUGGUCUUGGGAUCCCAAUUCAUAGCUCCAGCCUAGACCAGUCCAGAAACCCCCAAAUGCUUCUAUCUGCUGCCUCCACAGUGUAUCCUGAAUCUGUUCACGUCUCCUAGUGGGCACUGCUGCCACCCUCAGCCCAGCUGUCUUCGUCUCCUGCCUGGACCGCUGCAGUACCCACCAACAGAAUGUAAUUUUCUUGAGAACAGAAGAUGGUGUUGUUUAUAGGAUCCCAGCCCCUAGAAUUCUGCCAGGCACUUCAUGGGUACUCAAAUAUUGGACCAAAUGCGUCUGAUUCCCCCACGGCCUAAGAAACACUAAGAAACACUUUAGCUAUAACUUCCUUAUCCCUGCCAGUCAGCGACCACUAGUCAACCUUCUGUCUCUAUCGAUUUGCCUAUUUUGGACAUUUCAUAUGAGUGGAACUUUACAAUAUAUGGUCUUCUGUGUCUGGCUCCUGUCAGUUCGAGACCAAUGCUUUCAAGGUUCAUCCAUGUUAUAGUAUGUGUUAGUACUUCAUUUUUAUGUCCAAAUAAUAUUCCAUUGUAUGCAUCUACCACAUUUGGCUUUCCCGUUCAUCAGUCGACGGACACCUGGGUUGUUUCCACCAUUUGACUAUUAUGAAGAAUGCUAACUACCAAGAACAUUGGUGUACAAAGUUUUGUUUGGAAGUACGCUUUCAGUUCUCUUGGGUUUGGCCCUAGGAGUGGAAUUGGUGGGUCAUAUGGUGACUCUUUCACUUUUUGAGAAACUGCCCGACUAUUUUCUGAAGUAGUUACACCAUUUGCAGUGAACUUUUCAGAGGCUAUGCUUGUUACGUUUGAUGUAGUAUCAAAGAAGAUUAUCCAUAAUUAUCUGGAAAAACCCUUAAAAUAUUCCCAUUUCCCACUACACAUCUGUGUCAGGUAGAUUUUCUUCAUGUGCUUCAAUCCGAACAGCAUACUGCAGAGGGAGAUAAGAGAAUCCAGCUGUCUUCCAUGAAGCCAGACAUUUAAAAGAUUUGCAGAAAUGGGAAAACCGUUUCCUCUUCUCAUUAAAUUUCUUUUUUUUUUUGUUUUGAAAACUAUUUUCACACACAUACACACAAACUGUUGAAUAGGUUCAUUGUUUGUUAAAUGAAUAAUUUAUCAAAAACAAAUAUUUUAAGAAUUUAUGUCUUAAUUUCCAAUAUGAUAAAUGUCAAAAGCCAUAAUUCUCAUAAACCCACAUUUUGGGGUCCUCAAUAACUUUUAAGAGUGUAAAAGCUCCUUGGGACCAAAAACUUGGAAUGCAUUCUGGCUGAUGCGC
Long non-coding RNA from Rhinolophus ferrumequinum (greater horseshoe bat), 1290 nucleotides. RefSeq lists it as uncharacterized. NCBI's taxonomy places the organism in Eukaryota, Metazoa, Chordata, Mammalia, Chiroptera, Rhinolophidae. The transcript has 3 exons. The record is from RefSeq and is a predicted model, not a curated record.